CUCCGGGCAGGGAGGGGGCGCGGGGCUGGGGAGGGGCUGAGGACGGGGGUCUCGUCGCCCCCUCGGGAGGGCCUCCCCGUCUCCGCCUCGUCCGGGCCCGAGUGGCCGCCCCAGGAGGCCGAGAGGACGCAGGGGCCUGGGCACUCCCGGGAGGGCACGGACCGCAGGAGGCAGGAGGCAGGAGGCGUCGCCAGGGCGCGGGGUGGGGGGGGGGUCCUCGCAGCGCCCAUCCUCGCAGCCCCCUCAGCCCCCCCACCCCGCAGCCUCUCCGCCCCGCUCCGCCGGGCGCUGCUCCAGGGCCUCCCUCCGGAUCCGGCCUCGGCCCACGCGCGGAAGGUGCUUCCCUGGGGAUCCCCAGCAUCAGCGCCUGCGCCCUGGGGGCACCUUGUCAGCCGCCCCCGACUUUGCAGCCCUCCUGGGACACUUGGAAGCAGGUGAACAAACUUGAGCAGAUACCACCAAGAGGAGCCGCCGAGCAGGAUUGAUGGAGAGACGACAGUUUGGUAAGGCUCCUCUGAGCCUAUAGCGGGGAGCUAUGGACUCAGCCCUGACUUCUCAACUAGGGGGAACAGCCCCAUUCCUGGACCCUUGAAAUUGGCCCCCAAGUGGAGGGAAGUUGACAAAGAAUGGCCUGAAGGAUGGCUGGCCUGGCCCAGGAAGGAGCCCCUACCUGGGGAGGGGGCAGGAUUUUGCUAGAUGCCUGUUGCAGAGAGAGGAUUUAGAAACAAAGGAAGAGAGAAAGAGGUCGAGGAAACAGCACAAAGGACUGGAAAAUUUGAGAAUGACAAAGAUAAAAGACUGGCGAGGGAAGGAGAGAUUUCCAAAACCCUCAGUGCUAGGAGGACGGAGGGCCUCCCGGAGAGUGGGGUGGGGGGAGAGGGGUGACCGUGAAGGCGGUUUGAUAAAGGACAAGAGCAAGAAGCAGAGCUCAUUUGUUUGGGGAGACGAGAAAGGACAGAAGGGAAGGAAAGAGAAUACAAAGGGAUGGAAGGGGAGCUAGGGAGUAAAGGAAGGGAGAGGCGAGAGGGAAGAAAGUAAAAGAGAAACAGAAGGGAGAGAGGGAAGGCGGAGAGGAGGGAGAGGAAGCGGGAAGGUGGGGCAGAAAGAAAGCAAAAGGGGAGAAAGGAGCAAUAAAGGACAGAAAGAGGAAAGAAAGG
RNAcentral lists this long non-coding RNA (1157 nucleotides) under Canis lupus dingo (dingo). Its description in RNAcentral is "lncRNA (ENSCAFG00020020624.1)". Lineage: Eukaryota; Metazoa; Chordata; Mammalia; Carnivora; Canidae. The record is from RNAcentral.